UGAAGAUUGAGCUUCACACAGCCUAAAACUUCCUCCUGUGUCCAACAUCUGUCAGCCUGUGGGUGGGUAACUGAUCCCAGGAGUCUCCGAGAAUAUUAGAAGAGGAGGAUUUCCAGACAGAAAUCGCAAACCAAAUCAUCAGGACCUGAAUAUCAUCGGCCUUUGAAUCUAGAAGGAGAAAUGUUUGUCUGUUCUGUCUGAUUG
Long non-coding RNA from Carcharodon carcharias (great white shark), 204 nucleotides. RefSeq lists it as uncharacterized. NCBI's taxonomy places the organism in Eukaryota, Metazoa, Chordata, Chondrichthyes, Lamniformes, Lamnidae. The transcript has 3 exons. The record is from RefSeq and is a predicted model, not a curated record.